UACGGCGAGGGGCUAGCGUUGUUCGGAAUUACUGGGCGUAAAGCGCACGUAGGCGGAUCAGUCAGUUAGAGGUGAAAGCCCAGGGCUCAACCCUGGAACUGCCUUUAAUACUGCUGGUCUGGAGUCCGAGAGAGGUGAGUGGAAUUCCGAGUGUAGAGGUGAAAUUCGUAGAUAUUCGGAGGAACACCAGUGGCGAAGGCGGCUCACUGGCUCGGUACUGACGCUGGAGGUGCGAAAGCGUGGGGAGCAAACAGG
Molecule: ribosomal RNA, 255 nt
Filed under: uncultured bacterium
Lineage: Bacteria
Description: partial 16S ribosomal RNA
Rfam family: Bacterial small subunit ribosomal RNA
Source: RNAcentral